UACGUAGGGUGCGAGCGUUAAUCGGAAUUACUGGGCGUAAAGCGUGCGCAGGCGGUUUUGUAAGCCAGAUGUGAAAGCCCCGGGCUUAACCUGGGAAUGGCAUUUGGGACUGCAAGGCUUGAGUGCGGCAGAGGAGACUGGAAUUCCUGGUGUAGCAGUGAAAUGCGUAGAUAUCAGGAGGAACACCCGUGGCGAAAGCGGCUCUCUGGGACGGUACUGACGCUGAGACGCGAAAGCGUGGGGAGCAAACAGG
Molecule: ribosomal RNA, 253 nt
Filed under: uncultured bacterium
Lineage: Bacteria
Description: partial 16S ribosomal RNA
Rfam family: Bacterial small subunit ribosomal RNA
Source: RNAcentral